UCCAGGGUAGCCUAGUGGAUAUGGCAUCUGUUCGGUAAGCGGAACACUGUGGAUUCGGUUCCCAUCCCUGGAC
RNAcentral lists this transfer RNA (73 nucleotides) under Cordylochernes scorpioides. RNAcentral's name for it is "tRNA-Thr". The record is from RNAcentral. Lineage: Eukaryota; Metazoa; Arthropoda; Arachnida; Pseudoscorpiones; Chernetidae.